Molecule: long non-coding RNA, 1030 nt
Organism: Diceros bicornis minor
Lineage: Eukaryota; Metazoa; Chordata; Mammalia; Perissodactyla; Rhinocerotidae
Exons: 3
Source: RefSeq, a predicted model, not a curated record
UCGGUGCGAGCCUGGGAUCCAAACCCGGGCCACCAGCAAUGGAGCGCACGCACUUAACCACUCAGCUACGAGGCCGGCCCUAUCCUACCAUUUUAAAUACUAGGUCAUCGACAAAAGUCCACAUUACUCAUUCAGUUGUGUGUUAGUGGAUCCUUUGUAGGGUGUCUUCCUAGGUACGUUUUCACAUGGUCAUCGACAAAAGUCCACAUUACUUGUUCAGUUGUGUGCUAAUGGGUUCUCCGUAGGGUGUCUUCCCGAGUACAUUUUCCAAUGUGAACUCCAGCUGAUGGCCUUGUGACACUGAUAUAAAUACUGGUGUCUCCACAGAUCAUGGGGCCAAAGAUGUGUGGUCUGUUAUGAGAGGUUCAGGGAUUCGAUCGGAGAUGUAAAAGACACUUUCCACUCCAAACAAAUGGACUGAAGAAGAAUUCUCUGCUUCCCCAGAAGAUGAGGCAGGGAGCAGCUGGGACCGGGUUCUGACCAAGGAAGGAAGGAUGCUGAGGGCACAGCUGACUCCCCUCCACUGAAUCCUUCCCCUGAUCCGUGGCCCUGAUGGGGCAACAGCGCUGGGGACUCCUGCAGUGUCUCCAUCAAUCAGCGUUGAAGUGGAACUGAGUACAUGCUUUUCAGAAGCGGCAUCAUUCUCUACUCAGCCAGAGCAUUGGGCCUGACAAUAGCUGGAUCCAGCAGAAAACUGGACACUCUAGGAGAUGUCAUGUGGAGAUGUGCCUGGCUGGACUAAUAGUCACGUGGAUAUGAUUUUUAAAAAAAUCUCUCAGAGCUUUCCUAAAAUCAAAUAAUAUUCUUCAGUUGCUUUAGUAGACGAGACAUUAGCUAGUGUCUUUUUAAUUUCCACAGAAGCUUUUUUUAUGUUACUAAAGAAACUAAACAUUAUGUCUUUUUUUUUGUUACCAAAAUGGACUUAGUAUUAAAAACAAGAAACCUACAAGAAAGGAAACACUCAUAUGGAAUAGAAAUUGUGGGUCACAGCUUUUAAUUUUAUAUAAAAUCAUGUUUUAUUUAUUUACAA